GUGACCGUGGCCGAGUGGCUUAGGCGGCAGAAUGUGGAUCUGUCCACGAGGGUUCAAUUCCCUCCGGUCACCCCA
This 75-nucleotide transfer RNA is filed under the name Acidobacteriota bacterium. RNAcentral describes it as "Acidobacteria bacterium tRNA-His". It matches the Rfam family "tRNA". From Rfam's summary of the family: Transfer RNA (tRNA) molecules are approximately 80 nucleotides in length. The record is from RNAcentral. RNAcentral also lists the same sequence under 1 other name. Lineage: Bacteria; Pseudomonadati; Acidobacteriota.